UGAGUAACACGUGGGCAUCUGCCCUUCACUCUGGGACAAGCCCUGGAAACGGGGUCUAAUACCGGAUAACACUCUGUCCUGCAUGGGACGGGGUUGAAAGCUCCGGCGGUGAAGGAUGAGCCCGCGGCCUAUCAGCUUGUUGGUGGGGUAAUGGCCUACCAAGGCGACGACGGGUAGCCGGCCUGAGAGGGCGACCGGCCACACUGGGACUGAGACACGGCCCAGACUCCUACGGGAGGCAGCAGUGGGGAAUAUUGCACAAUGGGCGAAAGCCUGAUGCAGCGACGCCGCGUGAGGGAUGACGGCCUUCGGGUUGUAAACCUCUUUCAGCAGGGAAGAAGCGCAAGUGACGGUACCUGCAGAAGAAGCGCCGGCUAACUACGUGCCAGCAGCCGCGGUAAUACGUAGGGCGCAAGCGUUGUCCGGAAUUAUUGGGCGUAAAGAGCUCGUAGGCGGCUUGUCACGUCGGAUGUGAAAGCCCGGGGCUUAACCCCGGGUCUGCAUUCGAUACGGGCUAGCUAGAGUGUGGUAGGGGAGAUCGGAAUUCCUGGUGUAGCGGUGAAAUGCGCAGAUAUCAGGAGGAACACCGGUGGCGAAGGCGGAUCUCUGGGCCAUUACUGACGCUGAGGAGCGAAAGCGUGGGGAGCGAACAGGAUUAGAUACCCUGGUAGUCCACGCCGUAAACGUUGGGAACUAGGUGUUGGCGACAUUCCACGUCGUCGGUGCCGCAGCUAACGCAUUAAGUUCCCCGCCUGGGGAGUACGGCCGCAAGGC
RNAcentral lists this ribosomal RNA (774 nucleotides) under Streptomyces californicus. RNAcentral's name for it is "bacterial SSU rRNA". It matches the Rfam family "Bacterial small subunit ribosomal RNA", at positions 107 to 894 of the family's 1533-position model. The record is from RNAcentral. Lineage: Bacteria; Bacillati; Actinomycetota; Actinomycetes; Kitasatosporales; Streptomycetaceae.